This 482-nucleotide ribosomal RNA is filed under the name Granulicatella elegans. RNAcentral's name for it is "bacterial SSU rRNA". It matches the Rfam family "Bacterial small subunit ribosomal RNA", at positions 28 to 491 of the family's 1533-position model. Lineage: Bacteria; Bacillati; Bacillota; Bacilli; Lactobacillales; Carnobacteriaceae. The record is from RNAcentral.
GACGAACGCUGGCGGCGUGCCUAAUACAUGCAAGUCGAACGAGAGCGACCGGUGCUUGCACUGGUCAAUCUAGUGGCGAACGGGUGAGUAACACGUGGGUAACCUGCCCAUCAGAGGGGGAUAACAUUCGGAAACGGAUGCUAAAACCGCAUAGGUUCUUGAGCUGCAUGGCUCGAGAAGGAAAAGAGGCUUCGGCUUCUGCUGAUGGAUGGACCCGCGGUGCAUUAGCUAGUUGGUGAGGUAACGGCUCACCAAGGCCGUGAUGCAUAGCCGACCUGAGAGGGUGAUCGGCCACAUUGGGACUGAGACACGGCCCAAACUCCUACGGGAGGCAGCAGUAGGGAAUCUUCCGCAAUGGACGCAAGUCUGACGGAGCAACGCCGCGUGAGUGAAGAAGGAUUUCGGUUCGUAAAACUCUGUUGUUAGAGAAGAACAGCGCAUAGAGUAACUGUUAUGCGUGUGACGGUAUCUAACCAGAAAGC